AUGGCAAGGCCGCUCCCUCCUAGGCCGGUGACUAGUUUCGUCUCGUCAACGACGACGACAAACUUUCCUGAUGCGGCCUCGACCAUCUUCUCCCGGAGCAGGGCUCCACCCCGGCCUUUGACAAGGUUAAGAUCUGGGUCGAUGACGGGGUGGUCGUCGAGGGUGGAGAGGGGGAUCCCCAGCGACGUGGCCUGCUCGAAGGUGCGCUUGGAGGUGGGCACGCCGACGAUGCCGGAGAGCUUCCCGCUGGCGAGGAGCGCGCCGAUCUCGGCGACGGCGAAGGCGGCCGUGGACCCCGUCCCGAGCCCCAGGACCAUGCCGCUCUGCACCUGCUCCACCGCGCGCACCGCCGCGAGCCUCUUCAGGUCGUCCUGCGUCAGCGCCGUCGCCGCCCGCGCGGCGUCCGCGCGCACCGCGAGGCGCGCCGGCCGGCGCGGGGCGGCGCGUCGCGUGGCGGCCGCGUGGAGGCGGACGGCGGUGGCGGUGGCGGUCGCGGCGGCGGCCAUGCCGGGUGGGAGGGUGGCGACGGGUGGUGGGAGUUCUUGGAGCUCGGUGGGGAUGGAUGGGGAGCUGGUGGAGAAGGAGAGGGCGGAGGAGAUGUGCGGGGGGUUGGUGCCUGGUGAUCAACGACGGGUUGAGGGUUGGUGGUGA
Molecule: ribosomal RNA, 651 nt
Filed under: Triticum aestivum (bread wheat)
Lineage: Eukaryota; Viridiplantae; Streptophyta; Magnoliopsida; Poales; Poaceae
Description: partial small subunit ribosomal RNA
Source: RNAcentral